RNAcentral lists this ribosomal RNA (497 nucleotides) under uncultured bacterium. RNAcentral describes it as "partial 16S ribosomal RNA". It matches the Rfam family "Bacterial small subunit ribosomal RNA", at positions 28 to 507 of the family's 1533-position model. The record is from RNAcentral.
GAUGAACGCUGGCGGCGUGCCUAAUACAUGCAAGUCGAGCGAACAGACGAGGAGCUUGCUCCUCUGACGUUAGCGGCGGACGGGUGAGUAACACGUGGAUAACCUACCUAUAAGACUGGGAUAACUUCGGGAAACCGGAGCUAAUACCGGAUAACAUGUUGAACCGCAUGGUUCAACAGUGAAAGACGGUCUUGCUGUCACUUAUAGAUGGAUCCGCGCCGCAUUAGCUAGUUGGUAAGGUAACGGCUUACCAAGGCAACGAUGCGUAGCCGACCUGAGAGGGUGAUCGGCCACACUGGAACUGAGACACGGUCCAGACUCCUACGGGAGGCAGCAGUAGGGAAUCUUCCGCAAUGGGCGAAACCCUGACGGAGCAACGCCGCGUGAGUGAAGAAGGUCUUCGGAUCGUAAAACUCUGUUAUUAGGGAAGAACAAAUGUGUAAGUAACUAUCCACGUCUUGACGGUACCUAAUCAGAAAGCCACGGCUAACUACGUG